Molecule: ribosomal RNA, 497 nt
Filed under: uncultured bacterium
Lineage: Bacteria
Description: partial 16S ribosomal RNA
Rfam family: Bacterial small subunit ribosomal RNA
Source: RNAcentral
GACGAACGCUGGCGGCGUGCCUAAUACAUGCAAGUUGAGCGCUGAAGGUUGGUACUUGUACCGACUGGAUGAGCAGCGAACGGGUGAGUAACGCGUGGGGAAUCUGCCUUUGAGCGGGGGACAACAUUUGGAAACGAAUGCUAAUACCGCAUAAAAACUUUAAACACAAGUUUUAAGUUUGAAAGAUGCAAUUGCAUCACUCAAAGAUGAUCCCGCGUUGUAUUAGCUAGUUGGUGAGGUAAAGGCUCACCAAGGCGAUGAUACAUAGCCGACCUGGGAGGGGGAUCGGCCACAUUGGGACUGAGACACGGCCCAAACUCCUACGGGAGGCAGCAGUAGGGAAUCUUCGGCAAUGGACGAAAGUCUGACCGAGCAACGCCGCGUGAGUGAAGAAGGCUUUCGGAUCGUAAAACUCUGUUGGUAGAGAAGAACGUUGGUGAGAGUGGAAAGCUCAUCAAGUGACGGUAACUACCCAGAAAGGGACGGCUAACUACGUG